This 73-nucleotide transfer RNA is filed under the name Bacteroidota bacterium. Its description in RNAcentral is "Bacteroidetes bacterium (activated sludge metagenome) tRNA-Arg". It matches the Rfam family "tRNA". From Rfam's summary of the family: Transfer RNA (tRNA) molecules are approximately 80 nucleotides in length. The record is from RNAcentral. Lineage: Bacteria; Pseudomonadati; Bacteroidota.
GGACCCGUGGCUUAAUGGAUAGAGCAUCUCACUACGGAUGAGAGGAUUGGGGGUUCGAGUCCCUCCGGGUUCA